This 1122-nucleotide long non-coding RNA is filed under the name Ursus thibetanus thibetanus. RNAcentral's name for it is "lncRNA (ENSUTTG00000005972.1)". Lineage: Eukaryota; Metazoa; Chordata; Mammalia; Carnivora; Ursidae. The record is from RNAcentral.
AUGUUAUUUCAAAGAAAAAAAAAAAAAAAAACUAACUUCCAGAUCUCCAAAGCUCCACGCGCUAUUUCUGUAACAGCCAAGUCUAUAAGCGCGCCAAGGGACUGCAGGUACUGGGUUGCACUUGAGGAAGUGUCCGGAGUUGGCGGAAACAACCCAUCCACUCAGGCUCCCAGAGGCGCUGGGCUGCAGCGGCUUAGCUCAGACACACACAAGGAUUUGAGGCUUUCUAGAAAACGGCGUGGCCGAGGCCUCAGGCUGGGGCUCGAUGCGCGCCGACCGAGACCGACCCGCUCUCCCGCCCCGACGCAGAAGGGAGGCGAGGCUGCGGUCGGGGCGCACGGGCUGGGUGUGCACUCGCCUGUCCCCCUCGGCCCCGGCCCAGGGAGCGCGGGGCCCCGACUACGGAACGGCUCCAGGUUGGCUGUCCCUAGAGUUUCAGAGUUGGAGGGUGGAGGGGUGAGUGCUGGCGCCGGGACAGAGCAAAUCCCCAAGGAAGGGAAGGAAGGGAAGCGAAGCGAAGCGAACGGGAGGAGAGGCUGCACAGCCGUCGGCACGGACAUAGCGCGCGCUGGCUCCCCAAGUCCGGUGUGGGCGCAGCCCCCCGGCGCCCCGGACACACCCACUGCGCCCCGCCGCCCGCGCCAUCGUGUCCCGAGGUCCAGAGCGGGCCCGAGAGGAGGGCAGCUGCCCGGCCGGGUCGGGGCGGCGCGGGCGGGGCGCAAGGGGAGCAGUGGGCGCGCGGCGCGGGCGGCUCUGCUCACCUGGCGGUCCGCGUCCCGGAUCGGCCGGCGGCCGCCUCGCCUAGCCCCCGCGUGCUUCCCGGCGCCGGGCAGCCCCGAGCACGCCGCAUGGACGGCUGCCGCCGCCGCCCCGCGCCUGCCCUGCACGGGCUCCCGCUGCGCCCCGGUUCGGCGUCGGGCUGAGCGGGCGGCCAGCGGCUCGGGUGCGCGCGGAAAGCUGUGGCUCGGAGUUUGCGAUCGGGAGAACCGGGAUCCGCGCUCCUUCGGUCCCUCCUCCCUCCCCCACUCGCGGCCUCCCGCUGUCAUCUGGAGCCGCUCCUGUCGCCCCCUGGCGGCCGCCUCGGGAAGGACCGGCCCCCGAUCCACCCCUGCGACCCCAUAG